Molecule: ribosomal RNA, 773 nt
Filed under: uncultured Neocallimastigales
Lineage: Eukaryota; Fungi; Neocallimastigomycota; Neocallimastigomycetes; Neocallimastigales
Description: partial large subunit ribosomal RNA
Rfam family: Eukaryotic large subunit ribosomal RNA
Source: RNAcentral
AGAGAGAGACAUGCGCGCAUAUCAAUAAGCGGAGGAAAAGAAACUAACAAGGAUUCCCUCAGUAACGGCGAGUGAAGCGGGAAGAGCUCAAAUUUGAAAUCUUCAAGGUUCUACCUUGACGAAUUGUAGUUUAAAGAAGUGUUUUCUGCUGAAGUUUUGGUAAAAGUUCUUUGGAAUAGGACAUCAUAGAGGGUGAGAAUCCCGUAUUUGACCAUUAUUUUCAGCUUUGUGAUACACUUUCAAAGAAUCGGAUUGUUUGGGAAUGCAGUCCAAAAUGGGUGGUAAAUUUCAUCUAAAGCUAAAUAUUGGCGAGAGACCGAUAGCGAACAAGUACCGUGAGGGAGAGAUGAAAAGAACUUUGAAAAGAGAGUUAAACAGUACGUGAAAUUGUCAAAAGGGAAGCGUUUGACACCAGUGUUGUUUUCUCGAAAAUCAAUUAAAAAUGGCUCGAUUUUGUAUUGUUGAGACCUUAAAAGCUCACUGUACAUUUUUCGUGUCUUUUUUAAUGCACUUUUCGUUUAACAAGUCAACAUCAGUUUCUUUUGUUGUAAAAGGGUCAUUGGAAGGUGGCUUUCUUUUCGGAGAAAGUGUUUAUAGCCUUUGGCCUCUGCAAUCGAAGAGACUGAGGUCUGCAGCGUAGACUCUUCGGGGUUAGAUACAUUUGUGCUAGUUAUAGCUUUUUAUAGACAACUUGUUGACUAUAAUUAGUCUUGUAGCUUACUCGCUUAUGCUAUUUUACCUACGCUUAGGAUGUUGAGUCGUAGAGCACGCAG